This 464-nucleotide ribosomal RNA is filed under the name uncultured bacterium. Its description in RNAcentral is "partial 16S ribosomal RNA". It matches the Rfam family "Bacterial small subunit ribosomal RNA", at positions 29 to 507 of the family's 1533-position model. The record is from RNAcentral.
ACGAACGCUGGCGGCGUGCUUAACACAUGCAAGUCGAACGGUAAGGCUCCAGCUUGCUGGGGUACACGAGUGGCGAACGGGUGAGUAACACGUGGGUGACCUGCCCUGCACUUCGGGAUAAGCCUGGGAAACUGGGUCUAAUACCGGAUAGGACCGCACCGUGAGGGUGUGGUGGAAAGUUUUUUCGGUGUGGGAUGGGCCCGCGGCCUAUCAGCUUGUUGGUGGGGUAAUGGCCUACCAAGGCGGCGACGGGUAGCCGGCCUGAGAGGGUGGACGGCCACAUUGGGACUGAGACACGGCCCAGACUCCUACGGGAGGCAGCAGUGGGGAAUAUUGCACAAUGGGCGGAAGCCUGGUGCAGCGACGCCGCGUGGGGGAUGACGGCCUUCGGGUUGUAAACUCCUUUCACCAUCGACGAAGGGUUUCUGACGGUAGAUGGAGAAGAAGCACCGGCUAACUACGUG